Homo sapiens (human) is the source of this 1001-nucleotide long non-coding RNA. The record is from Ensembl. Lineage: Eukaryota; Metazoa; Chordata; Mammalia; Primates; Hominidae.
CCCUGGAGGGUCACCCAAGGAAAGAGUUCGUUCCAAAGACAGGUGCUCCUCUGAGUUCCUCUGGAAUCUGGCAAGGUGCCGAGCUUGGACGCAAGGCUUCCAUGAGGCUGUGAAGGAGGUUGCACGGAAACUGGUGGGGAUCUGAAAAGCUUUUAGUGGCCUCGCCACACACAGCACUUCAGAUGCUCAGGUGAUGAGCAACAUUUUCCAAACCCAGCUAGUGAGCACCCCACCUCCUCUGGCUUCCAGAACCUGGUGUGGAGGGCCAGGAGAGGCUUCGGGACUGAAGGGCAGAGCAGCAGACUCCGGGGCUCAUGUAGGAAGGAACAUGCCUUCAGCCAAAGAUUAUCCACGCUGCAUGGAGACUCUUGCUAAAUAUCACUGGGGUAAGACUGAAGAAAAGAAAUAAACUAUGCUACCUGCUCUUAAUAAAGAUCAUUUUAUUUUAAACAGGAGGCUGAAUAAAACCUUUUGACUCUGUAUUUCAGACAAAUGCAGUGGCUUAAUUUCAUUCAAUCAUUUACUGAGGAUCUGAAAUGCAUGCGGUUAGUGGUGAGAAUACUGACUCAGGGCUGUCCCUUCCUCUGGAGUUGACAGCCGACUGCGCAGGAAGGGAAGGUGAGGGUCAAACACACAGGUCAACAUCAGAAACAGCACUUCCGCCUUCCAUUGGCCCCGAUGUUUCAUGGAGGCCCCGAGGAGGCUGCGAAGGAACAUGGCAGUGACUGCUCCGUGGCUCUGCGUGGUGGCCAGCAACUGUUUGGGCACUAUGACCAUGUACGUUUGACAAAGCGCAUGCAAUUAUUUGAAUAUUCUAUAGUUCUUUUAGGAAACUGAGUAGAAACGGAAAAUUAAAAGUGCUGAUGUUAGUAAUAGGAAACAUGGAUCUCAACAGUGCAACUGUGGCAAAGAUAAAAAACAAACGGCAUGCCAACGGGCUCAUGACAGACACAACCGCGGCCUUGCUGGUCUUGAGCUGCCGUUGCUGAUGACGAUGAUGA